AGUGAACGCUGGCGGUAGGCCUAACACAUGCAAGUCGAACGGCAGCACAGGGGAGCUUGCUCUCUGGGUGGCGAGUGGCGGACGAGUGAGGAAUACAUCGGAAUCUACUUUUUCGUGGGGGAUAACGUAGGGAAACUUACGCUAAUACCGCAUACGACCUACGGGUGAAAGCAGGGGAUCUUCGGACCUUGCGCGAUUGAAUGAGCCGAUGUCGGAUUAGCUAGUUGGCGGGGUAAAGGCCCACCAAGGCGACGAUCCGUAGCUGGUCUGAGAGGAUGAUCAGCCACACUGGAACUGAGACACGGUCCAGACUCCUACGGGAGGCAGCAGUGGGGAAUAUUGGACAAUGGGCGCAAGCCUGAUCCAGCCAUACCGCGUGGGUGAAGAAGGCCUUCGGGUUGUAAAGCCCUUUUGUUGGGAAAGAAAUCCAGCUGGUUAAUACCCGGUUGGGAUGACGGUACCCAAAGAAUAAGCACCGGCUAACUUCGUGCCAGCCGCCGCGGUAA
Molecule: ribosomal RNA, 506 nt
Filed under: uncultured bacterium
Lineage: Bacteria
Description: partial 16S ribosomal RNA
Rfam family: Bacterial small subunit ribosomal RNA
Source: RNAcentral